Small nucleolar RNA from Phyllopteryx taeniolatus (common seadragon), 73 nucleotides. RefSeq annotates it as small nucleolar RNA SNORD2. The transcript has a single exon. The record is from RefSeq and is a predicted model, not a curated record. Lineage: Eukaryota; Metazoa; Chordata; Actinopteri; Syngnathiformes; Syngnathidae.
GGGUGACAUGAUGGCAUACCAUUCUUUCGGGACUGACUCUUCAUGUUGGGAGCUCUUGACACACCGAUCACUC